Molecule: long non-coding RNA, 322 nt
Organism: Zophobas morio
Lineage: Eukaryota; Metazoa; Arthropoda; Insecta; Coleoptera; Tenebrionidae
Exons: 3
Source: RefSeq, a predicted model, not a curated record
ACGUUUAAAGCAACUCUGUGAAGAAUGGCCUAUUUUUCAUCCUGAAAGAAAAGGAUUAGGAGAAUAUUUAAAUACUUUCGUUCUUAAAAAUUUUGAAUCCGUUAAAUUUAACAAUAAAAGUAACGUUGCUGAAGAACAGUUCCAGCCUUUAAAUAACAAACUGUUCAUAGAUCCUCGCGAUCCGAAAUCUGCAGACAAGAAAAUUACCCUUCUAGAAAAUAUAUUACGCAAUAAAUAUUAUAAUCAGUAUAAAAGGGCUAAUAAUUCAACAGCUCUGUUACGAAAUAAAGAAAUGUACGAGAAUUUGUUUGUCUACGAAUAU